AACGCACAUUGCGCCCCUUGGUAUUCCAUGGGGCAUGCCUGUUCGAGCGUCAUUUGUACCCUCAAGCUUUGCUUGGUGUUGGGCGUCUUGUCCCGCGUUGUCGCGUGGACUCGCCUUAAAGCGAUUGGCAGCCGGCAUAUUUGGCCUUGGAGCGCAGCACAUUUUGCGCCUCUUGCCUUGAAUGUUGGCGUCCAUUAAGCCUAUUACAUUUUGCAUUUUGACCUCGGAUCAGGUAGGGAUACCCGCUGAACUUAA
RNAcentral lists this unclassified non-coding RNA (255 nucleotides) under uncultured fungus. RNAcentral's name for it is "partial contains 5.8S ribosomal RNA, internal transcribed spacer 2, and large subunit ribosomal RNA". The record is from RNAcentral. Lineage: Eukaryota; Fungi.